UACGGAGGGGGCUAGCGUUGUUCGGAAUUACUGGGCGUAAAGCGCACGUAGGCGGCUUUGUAAGUUAGAGGUGAAAGCCCGGAGCUCAACUCCGGAACUGCCUUUAAGACUGCAUCGCUUGAACGUCGGAGAGGUAAGUGGAAUUCCGAGUGUAGAGGUGAAAUGCGUAGAGAUCGGAAGGAACAUCAGUGGCGAAGGCGACUGUCUGGACAGAUACUGACGCUGAGGCGCGAAAGCGUGGGGAGCAAACAGG
RNAcentral lists this ribosomal RNA (253 nucleotides) under uncultured bacterium. Its description in RNAcentral is "partial 16S ribosomal RNA". It matches the Rfam family "Bacterial small subunit ribosomal RNA", at positions 524 to 776 of the family's 1533-position model. The record is from RNAcentral.